AUUGAGGUCAGAAAGCCUCGAGCUUGUGCAACCCAGCUCUCUUACAAUCUAACACAGGCCUGGAUAGAAGGUGUGUAAUGUCCAAGCUUUCCAUCAGGUGGUUCCCCACUUCUUGAUGCCACGGUCCAAAAAUCAGGCAAGUCCACUCCAUAUGCUUAUUCAAAGUGGAAGUAACUAUAUAGAGUGUAGGCUCAGGGGUCCACAAUGCUUACAUGGAUGCAUGAUCAAAGCUACUCAUCAGUUUUAUCCUUGAAGAAAGAAGGGGAGAAAAAUCUAUCCACAUAUUUAUAAAAAAAAUUCCAUAGCUGUUCUCCUCCAUCUGCUAGUUACAGGGGGGCUUUGCUGCUUCAUAUGGGGAUGGAUAUGGACUUCAUUCGGGUGGUGCUGACAAAGGUCCUCUAUAUGGCAUGAGUUCUCUUGUUCUUGGGGUGCAUUUGAGAAGUCUCACCUCGGGCGUCGCUGAAGUCCGUUGAUUUUUUUUUCCUUUUGCUUUUCCUUGUGUCUCAAUCUGUAAAUUUUCUGUGCAUUAUGUAAGCUUUCAUUCUCAG
Magnolia sinica is the source of this 548-nucleotide long non-coding RNA. RefSeq lists it as uncharacterized. The transcript is spliced from 5 exons. The record is from RefSeq and is a predicted model, not a curated record. Lineage: Eukaryota; Viridiplantae; Streptophyta; Magnoliopsida; Magnoliales; Magnoliaceae.